CCUACGGGAGGCAGCAGUGAGGAAUAUUGGUCAAUGGGCGCGAGCCUGAACCAGCCAAGUAGCGUGAAGGAUGACUGCCCUACGGGUUGUAAACUUCUUUUAUAAAGGAAUAAAGUGAGGCACGUGUGCCUUUUUGUAUGUACUUUAUGAAUAAGGAUCGGCUAACUCCGGUCCAGCAGCCGCGGUAAUACGGAGGAUCCGAGAGUUGUCCGGAUUUAUUGGGUUUAAAGGGAGAGUAGAUGGGUUGUUAAGUCAGUUGUGAAAGUGUGCGGCUCAACCGUAAAAUUGCAAUUGAUACUGGCAGCCUUGAGUACAGUUGGGGUAGGCGGAAUUCGUGGUGUAGCGGUGAAAUGCGUAGAUAUCACGAAGAACUCCGAUUGCGAAGGCAGCUUACUAAACAGCCACUGACAUUGAUGCUCGAAGGUGUGGGUAUCAAACAGGAUUAGAUACCCCAGUAGUC
Molecule: ribosomal RNA, 460 nt
Filed under: uncultured bacterium
Lineage: Bacteria
Description: partial 16S ribosomal RNA
Rfam family: Bacterial small subunit ribosomal RNA
Source: RNAcentral